GAUGAACGCUGGCGGCGUGCCUAAUACAUGCAAGUCGAGCGAACAGACGAGAGUGCUUGCACUCUCUGGCGUUAGCGGCGGACGGGUGAGUAACACGUGGGUAACCUACCUAUAAGACUGGGAUAACUUCGGGAAACCGGAGCUAAUACCGGAUAAUAUUUAGCUUCGCAUGAAGCAAUAGUGAAAGACGGUUCUGCUGUCACUUAUAGAUGGACCCGCGGUGUAUUAGCUAGUUGGUGAGGUAACGGCUCACCAAGGCAACGAUACAUAGCCGACCUGAGAGGGUGAUCGGCCACACUGGGACUGAGACACGGCCCAGACUCCUACGGGAGGCAGCAGUAGGGAAUCUUCCGCAAUGGACGAAAGUCUGACGGAGCAAUGCCGCGUGAGUGAAGAAGGUUUUCGGAUCGUAAAACUCUGUUGUAAGGGAAGAACAAGUACGUUAGUAACUGAACGUACCUUGACGGUACCUUACCAGAAAGCCACGGCUAACUACGUG
This 499-nucleotide ribosomal RNA is filed under the name uncultured bacterium. Its description in RNAcentral is "partial 16S ribosomal RNA". It matches the Rfam family "Bacterial small subunit ribosomal RNA", at positions 28 to 507 of the family's 1533-position model. The record is from RNAcentral.